ACCACUAAAAGAGACCAGUGACACCGUGUCAAGGAAGAGAGUUAGACCUUCUCUGUCAGCAUUUGGCUUUGUGAUCUCAUGCAUGAGAUUUAAAGCCUAUGAGCUUCAGUUAGUUCACCUGAACAAAGAAAGUGACUUGAGCUAAUUCAAGAAUGAAGUCCUCAAUGAUUUGGACCAAAGUUGACUUCUUUUAUGUUCACACCUUGGAGAGUGCUAGGUGACUGUUACCUGGGAAGACCAGCCCUUUUCCUGUGCACAGCUUGAAGUGUGUGAGGAGACAAUCUCCAAUUAAAUUGAACACCCCCACAAGGAGUUCUGUGGAAUAGGUCCUAAAGGCCACUGCCCUGAAUUUGAAAGGACUCGUUUAUGCCCUAAUGUUGAUGAGGUUUGAGAAACAACCAUUCUAAAGCAACACGGACUGUGUCUUUCUGUUCAGACCCACUUGGGUUCAUGUCCCGGUGUGUGAACUUGGGAAGCAAUAAUCUCUUGUUUUAAAACAAUGUCUUUGUAAAGCUACGGGAAAUAAAUGAGCUGUCUCUUCCUGCGAUGCCAAGUUGAAUGACGAUUUUACUUAAAGUUGAACUCAACAGAAAACACUGACACAAUUCAAAACAUGCUCAAAGAUGCUCUUAUAAAGAUAUACUCGAAUCUUUUAUACAAUGUAAGACAUAUGAGAAAAUACUGAUUGACUUCUCCUUGUCAGUAUGGAAACGUACUCUUUCACACAAGAGGAAAAAUAAAUACUAUCUUAGACACAGCAGAAGAAGGAAUUGACUCUUACAUCCAGUAUUUAUGGACUAUCCCUAGCUUCUAUUUUGACUUCUAAGCUAUGCUUCCUUAAUGAAUGGAGGGACCACUAUAGGACAGGAAUUUAAGCCUUUUGACGCAUGUGUAGUUAAUAUAUUUCACUUCACCAGAGUGAGGAACAAGAACAAAAGAGUUGCUUCUUCUAAUAAUCAAAUUAAUAAUGAC
Felis catus (domestic cat) is the source of this 972-nucleotide long non-coding RNA. RefSeq lists it as uncharacterized. The record is from RefSeq and is a predicted model, not a curated record. The transcript has 5 exons. NCBI's taxonomy places the organism in Eukaryota, Metazoa, Chordata, Mammalia, Carnivora, Felidae.